CCAGUUUCGCUUAUCCCGAUGAAUGAGACCGCAGCGUGUUGCCGCCAGGCAAGCGUGUCAGGCGGUGUCCGGCAUGCGGCGAAAAGGGAGACUGGCUGUCGUCCUGUUUACUGACUGUGAUGAACGAGGCAUUACCUGUGCACGCAGGUAGGCGGACUCAGCGCGGGUGACCGACGGCAUAUGCAAGGUGAACGACUUGGGGCUAUAGCUCAGCUGGGAGAGCGCCUGCUUUGCACGCAGGAGGUCAGCGGUUCGAUCCCGCUUAGCUCCACCAUUCCGUCAUGGAAUGUUUUUGUCAUCCUGCGGGAUGAGAGGUUUUUCUGUCGUUGACUUAUUUCAGAGCGCGUUUAUCGAGCGCGCUGCGAAAUACCGCUCUUUAACAAUCCGGAACAAGCUGAAAAUUUGAAACACAUGCUGAAGUGCAAACUCAGUAUGCGAGUCUCUCAAACGAAGUAAGCAAACCUGAGAUAACGCGUAAGCGUUAUCACUGUAGCACGACAGGCCCUGUCGUCUCCGUGGCGUCUUUACAGACGACGCCGGGG
This 542-nucleotide unclassified non-coding RNA is filed under the name Sodalis-like secondary symbiont of Cantao ocellatus. RNAcentral describes it as "partial 16S-23S ribosomal RNA intergenic spacer". The stretch from base 199 to 271 matches the Rfam family "tRNA". Lineage: Bacteria; Pseudomonadati; Pseudomonadota; Gammaproteobacteria; Enterobacterales; Bruguierivoracaceae. The record is from RNAcentral.